This 471-nucleotide ribosomal RNA is filed under the name uncultured bacterium. RNAcentral describes it as "bacterial SSU rRNA". It matches the Rfam family "Bacterial small subunit ribosomal RNA", at positions 1 to 524 of the family's 1533-position model. The record is from RNAcentral.
UAGAGUUUGAUCCUGGCUCAGAACGAACGCUGGCGGCAGGCCUAACACAUGCAAGUCGAACGCCGUAGCAAUACGGAGUGGCAGACGGGUGAGUAACGCGUGGGAACCUACCUUACGGUCGGGAAUAGCUCAGGGAAACUUGGGGUAAUACCGGAUACGCCCUUACGGGGAAAGAUUUAUCGCCGUUAGAUGGGCCCGCGUCGGAUUAGCUAGUUGGUGGGGUAAUGGCCUACCAAGGCGACGAUCCGUAGCUGGUCUGAGAGGAUGAUCAGCCACACUGGGACUGAGACACGGCCCAGACUCCUACGGGAGGCAGCAGUGGGGAAUAUUGGACAAUGGGCGCAAGCCUGAUCCAGCCAUGCCGCGUGAGUGACGAAGGCCUUAGGGUUGUAAAGCUCUUUUGGCGGGGAAGAUAAUGACGGUACCCGCAGAAUAAGCUCCGGCUAACUUCGUGCCAGCAGCCCCGGUCAA